CGCCCCGGUCGGACCGGCGCUCCCCAAGAACAACCCACCGGGGAAAAAGCACCCCACCAAGCCCCACCCCUCCCUCCCGCGGGGCAGCGUCACUCCGGCGAGUGAAUAUGCCCAACUGGGCUGGAUUCGCACCCGGUUGCGUGCCCUACGCUCAGCGCCAGCAGCACGCGACAACUCCAGACAUGCGACGGCCCUCGCCGGGACUGCCAUCCCACUGCGAGGGCCUGACCACCGAGGAAGGAAACAGCUUCCCG
This 254-nucleotide non-coding RNA is filed under the name Streptomyces longwoodensis. Its description in RNAcentral is "Streptomyces sRNA 4677". It matches the Rfam family "Streptomyces sRNA 4677". From Rfam's summary of the family: Located in the intergenic region between anti-sigma factor SCO4677 gene and a putative regulatory protein gene SCO4676. scr4677 expression requires the SCO4677 activity and scr4677 sRNA itself seem to affect the levels of the SCO4676-associated transcripts. The record is from Rfam by way of RNAcentral. Lineage: Bacteria; Bacillati; Actinomycetota; Actinomycetes; Kitasatosporales; Streptomycetaceae.